GUCCACCGAAAAGCCAAAAAAUUUUAGUGUUAGAAUACCCUAUCCUAGAACCACGUUUAACCUUUUUGCACAAUUCGUUUUCAAAUUUCAUUGUAUUGAGUUUGUCCUAGUCAAGGUCUUGCUGCUAGUUAAUUGGUGUUAGAGUCCAAUUCAUGUGUUUUCCCCAUCGUUUUCAUCAAAUCCUAGUCGCCACAACCUUUUUUGCAUGCAUUGUUCCCAUUUUGUCCUCUAAUUCAGAGUUCGUUCAUAAAGCAACCAUAACUUUCACAUACAAACUCCGAUUUUGACAUUCCAUAUAUCAAAAUUGAUUAGAAAAUUUUUUGGAUCCAUCCAUCCCCCACUAUAUGGGGUUUACUAAUUUUAGAUUUUCCAAAUUCGGCCAGGAAGAUUGACUUUCCGAUCCUAGAAGCGUUUCAUCAAUUUUUAGCAUAUCUUCUUAUUUUUCUACUAGCCAUGUCUUUCACUUGUUGAAGCUCAUAUUUUCUGUGUUUACUUCUUGUGUGCUCCUAAGUCAAGGAAAAAUUAAAAAUAUAAAAAGAAAAAGUCAAAUUUUCCCUAAAAAACAACGACAACCCAAAAAAUAAAAAAAUUAAAGGGGCAAAAGAGGAACAUUAUCUAGAGGAGCACAUAGAGAUGUUCUAAUCAAGCUGUGAAGGUGUGUACUAUUUUGUGCUUUGUUCUUGUUGCUCUUAUCAUCCAUCAUACUUAUUUUCCUCAUUCUGGUUGUCACACAUCAGGUACUUGGAACACGCUAGGUCAACAACGAGAACAAGUAGUUGGGACUAUGAAAGCCCAAGUUUGGUUUUGGUAAUUAAUGACACCAAGUUGCUAAUGUUUUGUGUUUAAGUGAUUUGAGUUAGGCAUAGCAACACAUGUGACGAAGGUGUAUGGUGGCAUGGAAAGGUGGCCACAUGAUCACAAAGGGAUGAAGCAUGAAGUGAAGAUCAUGG
Molecule: long non-coding RNA, 950 nt
Filed under: Sorghum bicolor (sorghum)
Lineage: Eukaryota; Viridiplantae; Streptophyta; Magnoliopsida; Poales; Poaceae
Description: long non-coding RNA (SBIC_LNC006194)
Source: RNAcentral